RNAcentral lists this ribosomal RNA (1053 nucleotides) under Salmonella enterica. Its description in RNAcentral is "partial 23S ribosomal RNA". It matches the Rfam family "Bacterial large subunit ribosomal RNA", at positions 95 to 1190 of the family's 2925-position model. Lineage: Bacteria; Pseudomonadati; Pseudomonadota; Gammaproteobacteria; Enterobacterales; Enterobacteriaceae. The record is from RNAcentral.
CCGUUAUAACCGGCGAUUUCCGAAUGGGGAAACCCAGUGUGACUCGUCACACUAUCAUUAACUGAAUCCAUAGGUUAAUGAGGCGAACCGGGGGAACUGAAACAUCUAAGUACCCCGAGGAAAAGAAAUCAACCGAGAUUCCCCCAGUAGCGGCGAGCGAACGGGGAGGAGCCCAGAGCCUGAAUCAGCAUGUGUGUUAGUGGAAGCGUCUGGAAAGGCGCGCGAUACAGGGUGACAGCCCCGUACACAAAAGCGCAUGUGCUGUGAGCUCGAUGAGUAGGGCGGGACACGUGGUAUCCUGUCUGAAUAUGGGGGGACCAUCCUCCAAGGCUAAAUACUCCUGACUGACCGAUAGUGAACCAGUACCGUGAGGGAAAGGCGAAAAGAACCCCGGCGAGGGGAGUGAAAAAGAACCUGAAACCGUGUACGUACAAGCAGUGGGAGCACCCUUUGGGGUGUGACUGCGUACCUUUUGUAUAAUGGGUCAGCGACUUAUAUUCUGUAGCAAGGUUAACCGAAUAGGGGAGCCGGAGGGAAACCGAGUCUUAACCGGGCGUUAAGUUGCAGGGUAUAGACCCGAAACCCGGUGAUCUAGCCAUGGGCAGGUUGAAGGUUGGGUAACACUAACUGGAGGACCGAACCGACUAAUGUUGAAAAAUUAGCGGAUGACCUGUGGCUGGGGGUGAAAGGCCAAUCAAACCGGGAGAUAGCUGGUUCUCCCCGAAAGCUAUUUAGGUAGCGCCUCGUGAAUUCAUCUCCGGGGGUAGAGCACUGUUUCGGCUAGGGGGCCAUCCCGGCUUACCAACCCGAUGCAAACUGCGAAUACCGGAGAAUGUUAUCACGGGAGACACACGGCGGGUGCUAACGUCCGUCGUGAAGAGGGAAACAACCCAGACCGCCAGCUAAGGUCCCAAAGUCAUGGUUAAGUGGGAAACGAUGUGGGAAGGCCCAGACAGCCAGGAUGUUGGCUUAGAAGCAGCCAUCAUUUAAAGAAAGCGUAAUAGCUCACUGGUCGAGUCGGCCUGCGCGGAAGAUGUAACGGGGCUAAACCAU